RNAcentral lists this long non-coding RNA (23258 nucleotides) under Coffea arabica (coffee). RNAcentral describes it as "long non-coding RNA (CARA_LNC005340)". Lineage: Eukaryota; Viridiplantae; Streptophyta; Magnoliopsida; Gentianales; Rubiaceae. The record is from RNAcentral.
UUUUUUUUUUUUAGUGUAAACAGGAGGAUUCGAACCUAAGACCUCUUCCUUACACUCCCUCUCCCGUACCAUCCAACCCAACCCAACCCUCCCCCUAGUAUAUUCAAAAUAAAAAAAAAACCUCAUCCUGCUCAUCCUAUGCUAGUAAUUAAUUAUGUAUAAUAGGAACAUUCUUUUCUAGAGAAAUUUUCAGCAGUGAGAGUGCAAGAUAUAUGUCACAAUAAGCAUUGCGUAUGAUUGAUUUUUGACACUAAAUGACCAGCAAUUUGUUUAUUGCUUAAGGAGAUGUUUUUUAUUCAUAUAUACAUUUCUCCAAGAUUUUUUAAAGUUAAACAAUGAGAUAAAUUUUCUUAUUUUGCAUGGGAAGAAGUAUGUAGUUAUAAUGUGUAAAAAGUAAAGAUAGAGAUAAAAGUGAAAAUAUUUCAAAAGUUAAACAAACACCAGAAAAAUGAAGUAAGAAAAUAUUUUCAAUAAGCUAACCAAACACCUGAAAAUGAUGAAAGGGAAAUGAUUUUCAUGGAAAAUUACUUCCACGGAAAAUAUUUUCCCAAGGAAAACAUUUUACUUCCAACCAAACAGACCAUAAGUAGAUUAAUGGAUGAAAAUCCUUGUGGAUCGAGGAUUCCAUAUUUUGUAAUGUAUUGAUGUCACAAGCUGCUAUGCUUUUUAUUCAAAUAACACAUUUAUCAAUUAAGCAGUUAACUAAUUGGCAACAUCCGGGUAUAUAAGGUACUCUAUACUCUUUUUUCUUUUUUUUUUUUAAAUGUAAGCAAAAUGUUUCAAACUUAGAAUCAAAAUCUCUCACUUACACUUCUUUCUAUCGUAUCACACAACUCGUUCAUCUUUCCUAUAGUGCUUUAUACUUCUAUUUGUACCAGUGUGCAAAUCAUCCCAAAUGCGUACAUCUAUAGACCAAUUGUAAAAGCUCGAAUGAGAUUUUAAGUAAUUGUGAGAAUAAUUGCAUAGUGCAGUUAAAAUAUUCAAGAUCAUUUAACCUUUUUUAAGUAAGAGUACAAAAUAAAGUAUAAAAAUGAUUGGGCUUUAUAUAGUAGAUAAUCAUUUACCAUUGUCAUUAUUAUUAUUAUCUAUUGUUGUUAUUGUUGUUGUUGUUAUUAUUACUAUUGAAAUCUAAAGCACUUAGUAUAGUAAAAAGGGAUAAUUUCAUUUUGCACCAUCUAAUUAUAUUCGAAUUUUCACUUUAAUCCCUAAACUUUAAAAUGAAGAACCUUCUCUUCUCCUCAAACGAUGAAGAAUGCAGAGAGGAUUCUAAAGCUGAAGAACGCACAGAGGAGAGAGGAAGGGAACGGUCAGAGGUGAUACUAUAGACAGAGAGGAAGGGAACGGUCAGGUAAGCAAAAGGAAGACAGUAUAAACAGAACAUUCAAAAACGUUUCAGAGAAAACCUUCUCUUCUCAAACCUUCUCUGCCGUAUGCUUCGCCGCUGAAUGUACGAGAGUUCCCUGGACUAGCAGUCUAGCAGCCUGCAGAAGAAGAAAGAAGAAAAAGCAUAUGUAUUUGAUAAAAAAAUGAUCACUGAUCAGCACAAAACCCGUCGAAGUUGUUCCCUUAAUCUAUAACAUAUUAAAUUUAUCCCAUUCAAAUAAAUUUUAUCCCACUUUUAUCCGUAAAGUGUAAAAUCUUUUAUACUAUAAUCUCUAAAGUAGGACAAACUUUAUAAUUCAAAAACUAAAGUGUCUUAUUUUAAAAUUUAGAGGCUAAAGUGAAAAACUGAAAAUUGACGGAUGUAAACCCAAAUUAACGGGUUCAACUUUGACUCGGUCGCUGGUCAAACCCCCUCAGUCAAUUACUUGACGCCGUCAGUAAAGCCGUCUUCUGUACUCUAUACUGGUAGUCUGGAAUCAGCCCAUCAAUGCUGAAGAAUCCAUCACUACCCUUUUUGAGUUUUUCAAACCAGGCCAACCGCCCCAUUAUUUACUAUUAAACAAAACAAAGCAUCCGACGACUUGUUCUUAAUCUCAUUCUUUUAUCCAUUUUUUAUUUCUAAUCAGCGACUAAUCAUCAUUAUAUUGAACUAAUUCCACAACUAAAAACAAUAAUCAGAAUACUCAGUCUUCAUUUUGCAUAAUUUCAUUCCUUCUUCUCCUCUUCUCUUCUGAUCUUUAGCUUUAUUGGCCUACAAAUAAUGCUGCUGCCGCAGGCCACCGCUGCAGGUUUUGAUUGAUCGAAAGGUUUGGAAACCGAGAAAAGAGUUGGAAUUUGGGAUUCGGAGUUCGGAAUUUUCAGCUAUGGCGGCGAAUUCGGGUAGUAAUAGUAGUAGUAAGGAGACGGCUUUGAGGCUGAGAGCGGCAGCGGAGGCGGCCAUAGAGUGUAUAGGGUUGGGUUAUGACAUGGCGGUGGACCUUAGGUUGAAGUAUUGCAAGAAGCUGCAGUCACGAUUGAUCGCCGUUGAUGAUGAUCAGGUCAGAGAUAUUGCGGUUCCCGGUGGAAUUUUGGUCCAGAAUGUUCCUAAGUCGAUCAAGUGUGAUAAAGGAGAGCGAUUACGGUUUGGCUCUGAUGUUCUGUCUUUUCAGCAGGUAUGCUGUUGUAUUUAUGUGAGUUGAAUUUGUCCUUCAAUCGGUGGAAUUCUCUGAAUUGUUACCGUAAGUUUGUAUCAGUUAUGUUCUUUUGUUGUUUUGUUCUUGUUUGAAGCUUCCGUUGUCUGAAAAUUUUCAGUUUUGAUUGUUACACAUGCAUAUGUAUUGAUAUAAGAGCCUGUGUUGGAAAAAUAUUAUGCAUUUUCAAGUAAGAAGCAUUUUCAAGUAAGAAGGUUUUUUUGGUUCAGUUACAUCCAUUGAAUGCGAACUUUGUAGAACACAGGGAAUGAAAAGGGUGGAAAACUUAAGCAUGUAGUUAGAGUCAGGAGUCUAUAUUGAGCAAUAGUUCCUCAGUUAGAAUAGAAAAGUGUCAACUGAUUGAUUCGUUUGGAGGUAUGGCUGUCUAUGGUUCAGCUGCAAAAAACUCUUGUUCAAGGAGUGAGGGCUGCCAGAGCUAUAGGCAGAGUCCCGCUUUCUUUGCAUUAGCUGUAUUGUUCUCUUGGUGAAGUUCAUGCGCCAAAACAUUUUAGCAUUUCUUUUCAUAAUUUCUUAUUUUUCUGCAAUUUUUAUCCUUUUCACCUUCCAGAUGUCAGAACAAUUCAACCAAGAUGUAGCUCUUAGUGGUAAAAUCCCAACAGGACACUUCAAUGCUGCCUUUGAAUUUACGGGUUGCUGGCAGAAAGACGCUGCCUACACAAAAGCCCUUGCUUUUGAUGGUGUCUUCAUCACCCUCUACAGCAUUGCAUUAGAGAAAUCCCAAGUAAUGCUAAGCGAUCAUGUUAAACAAGCUGUCCCCUCGUCAUGGGAUCCGGCUGCAUUGGCAAGGUGAGUAGACUGGUUGCUUGGAAGUCAGAUUCUUUAAUUAUUUAUUUUCUUUGCUUUCCAUUCGGUAUUUUCAAUUUGGUCCUCAACAUGUGAUUUCCUCAAGGCUUUAUAACUUUGGCUGCUUACUUAUGCGGUCAAGUUUCUUUAACUUGUAGCUCUGUUUGUUGAUUUUGGCUUAUUUAGUAGGACAAACCAUAUUUAAAUCUAUUUGUUGAUUUGUCAUGAUUAUUAGAACCAGCCAUCUUCUGUGGUAGUUUGUUGUGGUUCUUCAUAAAGAUGUUUUUUCACAGAGUCUUUUCUGGGAUUCUGUUUUUGGUGUCCCAGCAAUGACAAUAUUGCACUGUGACCAACCAAAUUAGUUGAAACUUUGUCAUUUAUUUGUAUACAGUCUCAUCUUUUAUGUCUUUGUACCUACUGUUGCAUGUGUUUCACCACAAAACUACAUGUUUCCAAAUUUCAACUGUAACCAGACAUUUGCAGCCUCCUUAUAUGUUUUUUUGUGUUUACGGGUUUAUUUAGUUUUUCUGGUGGCACCCACAGAGAGAGUGACAGCACAACGUUUAUAUACAAUUACAAGAAAAUGUUAUCUUAAAAUUUGAGGAAAUGUAUUUUAUUUCUUAAACCGUUUGUCCCCAGGAUCCAGCAGCAUAUAUUUCUUAUUUGGUUAUGUGUGCAUAUCUUUGCAGGCAGUAACCUGUGCAUUUCCAGUUUGUUUCCAUGUGCAUAGCUUUGCAGGCAAUAAUCUUUAUGUAAAGAUGUUUAAUCUAGAAGUUAUCUGCUUCUACCUUUUGCAUUACAAAUCUUUUAAUCAUCCCAUUAUUCUGGUGUUUUAAACCUGGCUGAGUUAUACGACUGUGCUGGGUUUGAAACUAUAGACUAAUGUUUUGAAAUGGUUGUUUCAGUAAAUUUAAGGUCCGUUGCAGCAGAGAGAUUUAACUUAGUAAAGACUGUCAUUCCACUGAAGAUUGUGGACCUGCAGUUGUUGGUUACAGAAUGCAAAACUUAGUUGGCACAUCUUGGAGAAUGUUCAACCAUUGUUAAUGAAAGGAGUUUAAGUAUAGAGUUAUGUUAGUUCAAUCAAGUGCUACUUGAUCCAGAGGAUUUGAGCUUCAAAGUUCUUGCAUUCAGUCCAAAGAGUGUAACAAAAAAUGUGUGAAGCCAAAAUUUAUCUGACAGAGGAUUUGAAAAGCAGAUGCUUAAUUCCUUACCAUAAUAUCACCAGUAGGAAUAUAUCUCACUUCCGCAACAGGAGGUUUUCCUGUGGAAUGCUACAAGAUGUCUACUUAUAGUUCUCAUGAGCUGUCAUACUACUUAACUACUGUUGUUUAUAGGUGUCAUCACCUAGGCAUGAUAAAGAUAAUAUACGAUUCUAGUCCAACAUCUACAAGUAGUUGAUAACUUGUGUAGUUCUUUCUAGUUGUUGUUUAGUGCUAUGGAUGAAUUUCUUUUGAUUUUCUUUGUUUUCCAAUGUUUGGAAAUAUGUUCCUCAGAUUUGCUUUUUCAUUUUGUUUUUAUAAAUAUAUCUUUAUGGAUGAGCUGAGCAGCAUCUGUGAUUUUCACAGAGUCAAACUUUACCUCAUAAAAUUGGAAUCAGUUUAAGGUUAUGUCCAGUCUGUGCUAACUUGGAGAAACUUAGGUUUAUCGAGAAAUACGGAACCCAUGUGAUUGUUGGUGUGAAGAUGGGGGGAAAGGAUGUCGUGUAUGUAAAUCAGCAAUACUCAUCACCACUUCAGCCUGCUGACAUUCAGAAAAAAUUGAAGGAUGUUGCAGACAAGAGGUUUACUGAUGCAAGUAGACCUUCAAGCACCCACAAUGAUAAAGUUUAUAUCAGGGAAAUGGUGAGUUCUAAAGCUUAUUGUCCUGUAAGGCACAUCUUUCAGUGUGCCUUUCUAGGUUUUCUAAACUGUAUCUAUCCAUGUAUGUAGGUGAGAUCUGAUGCUUAUUGACCAGCUGAUAUUGGGUUUGUCAAUAAACAUCUUGUUACUGGAUGUGCAAUUGUUUGUCCAGACAACGUCUGUGUUCAGCAUGAGAUAUUAUCCAGCAUGUAGCUCUUGGCAGUUCUUAAUACAGACACACUAAAGGAAAGUCACAAACCUAAGAAUAGACAAACUUAGCAAUGGAGUUACACUAUAUUGCGUCCGCACACGAAGACUUGCCUUGGGAAUAGGGAAAUGACCUCGCUUGUAGAUAAGGACUCAAGACUCUAGAGUCUCUCUUGCAUUUCAUUGCUGAGUAUUGAGAAUGGUGCUGUGAUUCCUUUUUAAGAUAGUAAUGUUGUUAGUGUUUGGGAAUGGAAAGAUGCUGUCAUCAAAAUGUGGGGGAGCAUAGAGAGAGUUAAGCUUUAAUCCUGAUCUAAGAGCCAGCAAUGUUUCAUACGAUUAAAGCUCAAGCAUCUAAAUCCAUUUUCAGUUCUUGAAUGGUAUAGGUAGCAGCAUAAUGCAGAACUCAUCUGAUUAUGGUCAAAAUUACUGUGACAAAAUUGCAUUUAUGUUUCUCCAUUCCUAAUAAGUGCAUACUUGAUUCUUUCAUGUCAGUCCUGAUGAUUUACUAUUUGUUCUUUCUUUCAUCAUCCCUGUCAUGGCAUCAACAUCCAGUCAUGUGUCAGUAGGUGUUCACUAUUGUGGGCUUUGAAUUCUUAAGCACGUCUCUUUUCUAAUUUCUAUUUCAGCUGGAUGGCAAUGACAGUGGUCAGACCUUCAUGGAUACCACUACAGGGAGCAUUUAUUCCCAGAAUGAGGUACUUAUGCUCUAUAUAUCUUGCUGAAUAAAAAUUCUCAUGUAAGAGCGGCAUUUUGAUUCCUCGUAACAAAUAUUUUUAGUACUAUAUCUUCAAAUUAGAAUCAUGGAAUACUAUUUCUGCUUUGUUCCCUUGAUUUUCUGGGCUAGUAAUGUGAUACCUGAACUAUUAAAGAUAGAAAACAAUCUAUGGUUUUUGUUAACAUUUGUUUAGGCAUUUAUUCGGUAAUGUCAAGGGGAGAAUAAUAGUGUAAGUCCUUUUCAAGCUGAAGAUUAAGCAAACUAAAAGCAUAUCUUAUAUCUCCUUAAGCACCAAUGGAUGGGAAAAAAUGCAUGGUAAAAGUUCCAGAAAAAAUAAUUUCAAUAUGCUGCUUCAAAAUUGUCGGAUAUGAAAGUAUUGCAAUGAGAGAGAAUGAGGAAGUAGCUCAAUCAAUAUUCUGGUGUCACCGCUGAAUGUAGAAAUUGUGAAAUAUGAGAAUUUGUCCUAUAUAUUUUGUUGAAAUGCGACAAUUUCUUGCAAGUGCUUCCAAACAGUAAAACUCAUCUGAGUCAGCAGAAUCUAAGCUAGUUUCGGGUGGAAGAAGGGCAACAUAGGCAUAAAAAUCAAAGACAUAGGCUGUGCAGAGGCCUUUGUCUCUAACUGAACUGCAGUGACGUAGCUUCUUAUGCUGCAGCCGAUACCAUCCUAGCUUCCCAUUCUUUUCUACUGCUAGUCUGAUUUUAAGGAUAGCGGGUAAGCAGGAAAUCCCGUAGAUCUGAUCUGAGAUCUUGCCGCGUUAAGCAAGCUAAUUAGAAGGCCCUUUGCUAUCAAUAAGAAGGAGAUUCAAUCUUCAAGUACUAUUUUUAAUAUUGACUUUAGAACUGCUUUUAUUUUCCCAAAGUAAUUUAAAAAGUACCACUUGAAUAAUAUUCAGACAUAUCUCUUGAUUUUUUGUAGCUGAUGACAAGGAGGUUCAAAAUUUGGCCCUUAAAGUAUUGUAUUGUGUCCUAACUUGGCAUAGUCUUUUUGAUGACUUACCUAUUGAGAUGUCAAUUGCAUUAAGCACCAUGGAAUUGAACUUUUUCAUUUUCCUUCUUAUGCCUGACUUAGAAUAGGUGAAUCUAAAGUGGAAGUUGAUAAGACCACCUUCAAGCCUGUUAAAAGAACAGGGCAAGAGGAAAUCCUUCUUUUAUGGUGCAGGAAAAUUUAUUUUUAUUCUUCAAAAUACUACUCAUUUACAAAGUCUCAUGGAGGAGCCUUCUUUAUGCAAGGAAUACAUCAAACAGGAACCAAUUGUCCCAAUAACAAAGUUGCAACAGCUGAGAAAAUGUCUACGCUAAAGUUUCAUUCAGUAAGCUCCAAGUUCCUGCCAUACAGCCACAGUACACCUAAUUUCCUUCACAAUAUGAUUAGUAGCAAAUACUACAGAUGGAAUACAAUUUCUGAACACAGUACCAUUCCUUGACCUCCAAAUACCAUGCAAAAUAGCAGCAAGAGACAGUUUCUUUCCUUAUCAUACAAAUGAUUUGCGGUCAAAGUGAUGGCUUAACCAGGACAAUCCAAAAGGCCAAGCCUCGACGAAUCUAUAAAUAAAGAACAGUCCAAGUAUUCUAUGCCACACUGCAGCAAAACAUGUAAAGAUUGUACCAUUUGUGGAGUUAAUGCCUGAACAAUGUAUUACACAAUCCUCAGCUUCAUCAUUCCCAGCUUCUCAGUCUGUCAGCAGUAGAUAAUCUUCAUUUGCAUAACAACCGAAAGAAGAAAGCAUGCCUAGCACAACCUUUUUGUUUAAAUGCCCUUAGGAGGUGGAUUCUGCUAAAAUUGAAAAUUUAUUUGUUUCUUCCUUGUGUUAUGUGUUUAGUACAUAGCAGACAGCAAUCUAACAUGCUGAGCUGAGUAGUGUGAACUUUUGAAUAUAUGGGGCAUAAAAGUUUUGGAUGUAAUAAAGGUCAAUGGAAAUCAAGAUAGCAAAUUGACAUCAAACGUGAGUUUCAGAAUUAAUCACCCUGCAGUAAAAUUUAAAUAAAUUGUCUUACCUGGUUUAGAUAGAAACUAAAAUGCUGAAUGGCCUGAUUUUCUCUUUAUUGUCUCCCAAAACAAGCAAGAGAUAAGUGUUUUCAACUAAUAACAAGUUAUUGUUUUCAGCGUGAUUAAAAUUAAAUCAAAACAGCUGUGCUCUAAAAAAUGCAAAUAAAUUAGGAUGAAUAAAUAUUCCAGUCUUUGAUUACAGAUAUUUUGUGUUUUUCUAGACCAUGGCUUUGAAUUUGCUCUUCAAGCAUAUACCAUAUUACUUGUAUUGACAUCAAUUUCAUGAUUAUAUCACUUUGAACAAUUUGGAUAAAAUUCCGAAAUUAAGGCUAAAGACCUGUUAUAUAUUGUAUAAACCAACUGGAAAUUCUGUAUUCUUUCUUUUUAGUAGCAAACAAAACAUUAAACACUCAAGUUGAAGGUGAUGAUAUUUGGAAGCAAAGAGAUCGAUGAACUUGAUGGGUUUAUUCAUUUCUAAAGCAGGAUAUUACAUUCUUCUGUAGAAGGAGGGGUGGGAGCAGUAGCAGGAACUUGUCCCAUAGUAAGUGGUGUCAAAGUGUCCAGCUUGAACCUGAUGUGAUUUUGAUGUCCUUCAUACCAAUCUCAUCAUUGCUGAGUGGAAUUGAUGGAAGUGGAUUUUUGAGCCAUGCUAUCAACCUUUACCUACGCUGUAAGCUCUGUCUUCAACCAUAUUACGCAAACUCUGUGGAAUACUAUUUUUUAAUUAUUUUGGUGGUAACUUAAUUGCUUUGGCCCAUUUUAGUUGUUCUGAGUAGAAUUGACAUCCAUUACCAAGUGGCUGACUCGGUUAUUUAUUAGUUUAUUGUGAAUGAUAUGCCUAUGCAUUCAUGAAAGUGCACUGUAGCUCUGACUUAGUGUUUUUUGUUACAAUAGAAUUGAGAGGUUCCAAAGUAAGGAUCAUCCUUUCCGGAGACAGACAGAUGUGUUUGUUUUACAUUUCAUAACAUGUUUUGUACCAUUUCUACAUACCAUGAUAUCUUUGGAAAAUCAAUGAGCUCUGUGGGUAUGUAAAAUCUCAUCAAAUCAACAUUUGUUUACUUGUCUUCCCUUCUUGGUAUAUCCAAUAAAUUGGAAUGAUAAAGCCAUUCUUUUUCACUAGACAAAGUAUAUCUCCUGAGUUGUGCUAUCCUGAAAAGAAAUCCGGCAAUAAUGUGUUGUGAAGCUAAUGGAAGUUGCUUUCUAGAGCUUAAUUAUUGGGUCUCCAUCGAAUCUUUCCCCUUUAGAAAAUCUCACAAUGGUGCUCUCGAGUCUGUGGGAUAACUAAUUUGAGUUGUAUAAUAGCCUACUGUUAGGCAAUCUGCGCUUGUACAUCUAUCAUGCUAGGAUUUGUUCAUUGUUAAAGACAGUUUUUGAGGAUUGGCAUAUUAGAUGGGUUUGGGGAUUGGUACAUGUAGCCUGCACUUGUCUUAUACAAUGAGACAAGCUUUGAAGAUUGGCAUGUUACAUAGGUUGACAGUAGUCAUUCAAUCAUCGGUUUUAUGUCAUGUAAUUUUGGCUUUUCUUUCACCCAUUACUUGACAGACUUCCAAUCAGUUUUCCAAGCUAGUGGACCAGAUUAGUUAGUGGGAUUACUCAGAUAAAUAAAUUCAUUCAUUUUUGUCCGCUCUUUUGGUGAAUUUAAAUGUACAAAUGCCAAGUUGUUGGCCAUCACGGCUGCAAUCAAUCUGGAGAUGGUGCAAGAAUCUCUAUAGUUGGAAUGUCUUUUUAUCCACGUAUUUAACAUCUUAGACGUUUAAUUUCCUAGUUUUAGUUGUAUUUGCUGAGGUGGUUAUCUACGAUUCUGAUAUUGUAAACCAACUUCAGUAUCAAACUCUCCAUUUCAAACUGGUUCCAGUAUGUUGAUGCUAUGAGCUAUUGAAAUUUGUUUGGGGGUAAUGCUGCUCACCACUUGGAUAUGGAUAUCGUUGUUGUACUUGUUUCUACUAUGUAGUUGUCGAUUUGGAAACUUUUUGAGAGCAUUUGGAACCAUUCCAGCAUGACUUGAAUCACAUAUUCACGCAUUAUGCUUCUCACUUGACUCCCUCACACUGUCAUAUCAUCUUAGGGUCCACUGUGGGAGAGCCUAGAAAUCUUUCAACUUCUUUGACAAGUGACCUACUCUUGGUAUCGCUUUACUCUGGGAAAGGUUGAGAAUACAUAGAUUAGCAAAUUGAGUAAAAGGUGUGGCCUUACUGAGGAAGAAGUGAAUGCUAUCUGUACUUACUGCCAUUGACAACAUUUCUCCUAUUCCAAGCCAGGUGUUUAGGGCAAGCUAGACAGGAAUUUGUGAUGCAGUCAAAAAAGAGCUCGCGGAAUCUAAAGUUGAAGACUUUUCACGAUUUUUCUCCAGCUUCAUUGAGGCAUCCCUUGACCAUUAACUGUUUAUUUGGCAGUUGGAAUACGUAAAUUAAGAGUCCUUGUUUAAGUGUCAACACAGUAGGAACUAUAUCCUCUUGAGUUUUACUACUUUCUAGAAUUUUAGGUCUUAAGGGUAUUUUAGCCUUUUUAGUGUUCACACAAAAUUUUCAGUAAUUGAGUUGUUGAGUGUUACGAGGUUAUUUUGAUUGUAUUAGAAUCUAACUGGAGUUGGUGUUGUAGAAAAGUCCCAGGAAACUUCUUCAACUAAUUUUGCUUGUGAAUAGGAAUUGGGAUUAUGAAUAUGAUUCUGUUUUUAGGGUAGCUUAUAGCUUAUAGGUACUCUUGUUACAGCUUAUAUUACAUGUAGAUUGAUCAAUGAUCAAGAAAGAAUUGAGUCUUUUGUUUAGUCAUUAAUUUUCUUCUUCCUCAUCAUACCCUAAAUCCUCUUCUUCUCCACUUUCCCCCCUACUGUUCACUGGUAGCGGUCACAGCCCCAAUAUCUUCUCAUUCCUCUGCUGUGCUAGUAGGCAAGUUUUUCCUGUCUUCUCCUCCAUCAAGUGGUCUUUUCUAAGUUUCAUAAUCAGAAGUACUUGAUUCUCUGAUUUAAAGUCAAUUUAACUGUCAUCUUAAAGACUUAUUCCUCAUUUAUGGAGAGAAAUGUAAUAACAUCAUUAGGUGCUCUCUCUCUCUGAUUGAUUGAAUAUUUGGUGCCCUUCACUAUUUGAACUAUCACAUCCUGGGACCUCACUCCAUAAACCCUCCUCAUUCUUGUGCUAGUGUGAGAACUUUCAGUGUUACCCUCCCUAUUAUAUCCAUAAUUUGACCAUAAAUACACAAGAUGUAUAUAGUCACAGUUCCUAGGGACUUGCGUCUUACUGGUCAAUCUAUUUACUCAACUAAUUAUAAGUUUCUCAGAGAAUUUUUUGAUAAUAUUUUGGAAUCAAGCCUGUUUUUUGAAUGUCGAACCUCACUUUUUUGUUGUUAUUUUUACUGCCUUUCAUAUAUUAUUUUGUGCAAGAAUGUUUUGCUUUUGCUAAUUUGUUUGACAUUAGGCCUAUAAUUAUAGUUGCCAGAAGGACAAGAGGUUUGCAUAUAUCAUGGAAAAUGAAGUGGGAUAUGUUCCAUAAUCUGUGAUAAAUGUAAAUGAAAAGCAUAACUUUAAGAUUUAAUUCAAUUCCUAGCAGCCAUUCUGUGGAUACUAGAUUUAGAAAACUAAGAAGAAACUUCUAAGGAAAAGAAUCAGAAAGAACAACAUGCACAUUUGACUCAAAAGUUGUAAAGAAAGUAAACUGUAUUUACUUUUAAACUUUGACCAAAAUCAGAAAGGUUCUUUAAAUGUUUAACUGUCUGGUCCACUUGCUACUAAAUGAUUUUACCAUAUGCCAUGUGGUUCCAUCUUAUAACUAUUAAUCCAUUACUCAGAAACUAGAAGUCGUCAUUGGUUAAGUGAAGUACAUACAUUAUGUAACACAACCUCUCAGAGAAAAAUUACUCUAAUAAAAAUUCUGGACUUCUGUAUGUGUCCUCACUCGAAGCAGAAAUUUUGAAGAGUUCUAUGAACUUCUUAGUUCUCUUAGAGGAUCAUGUCAUGAUAUUUAGGCAGGGGAUUUAGCAGCAAAUUUUUUGUCAGCAAUACUUUUCCUCUGUUUGAUUGAAUGCCUACACAUGCUAUACAAAAUAUCACAGCUUAUUGUAUCUAUAGUUGGGAUAUAAGAGCUCUUCCGUUAGGAAACAGUUUCAUUAGCUUGAACAUUUGUGAUAGUCCUAGCUUGUAUUGCAGCUUGGUCUACAUAGAGUUCCAGUGUCAUGAUUAUUUACAAUCAUCUAUCCAAGGUUAUGUAGCUGCCAUUGUCCUCUUUUUCACCUUUUAAAUAUCAAAGCCAAGUUUUCUGAUUCCUCUAUGUGCGUAUGGUCAACAUUCUUAUGUCCAUCUUUCAGCGUGUUGCCUUAGACUCUUUCCAGGUUCCUUAUUGGUGAACAUUUUCUUAGUCGCAUCAUCUUUAUUUAGUACCAGAUGUGAAACUUGGAUUGAGAGUUAGAGAAACCAUUUUAUUUUACUGCUAUUACCAUGUAUGAUGUUAUCUCACUCAUAAAUGAGCCAAUAAGUGAAACACUAAAUAGAUGCAGAGAAAAUUUUGCUGAACUGCUUCUGCAGAUCACUGUUAUGUAACAACUCCGAGGGUGGAUAGAUGGUCCACAUGGUUGGACAAAGGAUGAGCUUGAUAUGAGCAAGCAACAACUUGAAUGAAGUAUAAUUUAAUUAUGCAAAAGCCAUGUUAGGCAUAUUUACUAGAAUUGGAACUGUCAAAUUACGAUAUUCUCCUAGCAUUGUGGGCUUAACUUUAGAAAGAUGAAAGAAAAAGCAUAAGUUGAAAUUAAACAUAUAAAUUUUUUUUGUAAGCAAAAUUAAACAUAUAAAUUUGAUAAUUGGCAAUUUCACUUUCUGAGUUGAUGAGCUUGGCAUGUAUUCGACAUUAAUAUGUGGUCCACACUAGUGAGCAGUAUGAGAUGCUUUAAAGAUCUCAUCUCAUUGUGCCUUCAUUAAUGUGUUUAACUAUGUUACAGCAAUCAUAAUAUAUAAAUGGUAUUUUUCUUCAACCUGGAAAUAUUAAUCUCAAGUCUUGGGGAUGCAGAUAAACCACCAAUUGAAGAACUAUAUCAGUUUUUGGAGUUUCAACUUCCUCGGCAAUGGGCACCAGUAUUUGGUGAACUUCCCCUAGGUCCUGACAGAAAGCAGCAGAGCGGUGCAUCUUUGCAGUUCAGCUUAAUGGGUCCAAAGCUAUAUGUUAAUACAAACCCGGUAACAGUCUCAUAAAAUCGAGUGCGCUUAAACUUUUUGUUGGCAUCUUUGCAUUGACAAAGGACUUUAAACAGUUAUCUGUUUCAGUUCCUUAACCUUGAAACAAGUAUUUCAGCAGGUUUCAUAGUUGUGAUGUUUAGAAUUCCUGUAAUCUGCCUUUUGAAACUCUGAUCUGGUAGUAAAUCCUGCAGAAAAUAAUGAUUUUUCUGAAUCGCUUGUUUGUUCAAAUUAGGACUCUAGUUUAGACUUAUCAGAAUAUAUAUAUAUAUAUGUAUAUAUAUCAUAAGCUUUGCAUUUAUAUGGACCUAAGGGAAUGAACUAGUAAAUAAAGGGAAAGGAAAGAAUGAGAAAGAGCACAUAGAGUUGGUUGAAUGAGGGUUGGGAAGUAGUGCUACAUAGUAAGGGUUGGUGGGAAGGAGCUGAGAAGUGCUAUAUAGCAAGAGUUAGUGGAAAGGAGUUUUGAAGUGGUCUGACAUACCUAGAGAUAUUAAGUAUUUCACUGAUGGUGAUGUUGAAGCGAAUAACAUGUCUUGCUUUAUCUAAAGUAGUGACCUCAAACUUGAAAUCUGUUAUGAAGGUCAGUCUGCUGGCUGCAGCUACUUCAUUAGUGACUUCAACUUGAUGUAUCUGAAACUUUUGGUUUUGAUACUUUAUUUUCUUUUUCUUAGUUUUGCUUAAGGGUAGAAAGGUGUAGGAUUCCUGAUUGUGUCUUGAAAUAAUCUAUGUUUCACAGAAGUUCUCUCCAGUAUUAUUUUCUACUGGGUGGGUUUGUUUUAGUUCCUUUAUGCUUGCCACACAAUGACAGGUAUUUAGCACAAGUGUUUCCCAAAAUAGUUGAGAAACAGUAUUCUUCUUGCAGCAAAAUGUAAAUGGAAGUACUUAUAACAUGCAAUUGGAGGUAUUGAGCACAUUUAUUUCCCACAUAAACUGAGAAACAAUAUCCUUCUGGAACCAGUGUAUUUGGAAAUGUUUAUUUAAUACAACAGGAUGUACUUAGUGCAAUUUCCACAUAAGUUGAUAAACUAUGCAUCUUUAAAUCUUUUCUCUUCACCAGAUUACCUGGACUUUCUUUGUGGGCCUUUUUAUCAUGUGCCUGUUGCUAAUAUGUUGUAUUGGUGGAGGUUUAAGAGUUCAAUAAAUGAACCAUGUGAGUGUGAUACUUCUGACCCUACAUAUCAAGGCAGUGAUACUUCUGACCCUAAAUAUUAAGGCAUACAAAUUGUGGCUGGCUGAAUUCGCUUGUCCCUUUUUUUGUUCUUAUGGAUAAUCACUUGGUUUCGCAUGUUUAUUACAAGUAUUGUCAAAAGAUAAGUGAGAUUAACGCAUCAAAUAAUGAUUUUACUUUCACCUUGAUUGCUUUCUUGACUUGCCUUCCUAAUGUAAUUUUAGAUGGAUUUCAUCUGAUUUCUCCUGUUCUCUGAGAUAGCCAUGCUGCUUUAGCACAACUUUGAGUGUAAUGCUGCCCUUCUCACCAUAAAUCUUAGUGAAAAAAGAAAGGUUGUCAAUAGGAAAGUCUUUGGAUGACAAAUAUGCUCUCUUUAACGGGUUCAUUUAUUGUGUCUAGUCUUUUUGCAACUCAGAUAUGUUGAAUAAUUGUUUAACGAUGUGAUUAUUUAUUUAGUUGGUGCAAUUACUUUUAAUAGGUUGAUGUGGGCAAUAAGCCUGUGACCGGACUUCGACUGUAUUUAGAAGGGAAAAGAAGCGAUUGCCUAGCAAUUCAUUUGCAGCACCUUUCCUCUUUACCCGAGAGCUUUCAGCUUCAGAAUAAUUCAAAUCACAAUGCAGGUAACUCAUAUGACCACAGGUAUUAUGAGAAAGUCCAGUGGAAGAGCUUCUCACACGUAUGCAGUGCUCCUGUUGAAUCUGAUGAGGACCUUGCCAUUGUUACUGGUGCUGAAUUUGAAGUCAAAGAAUCUGGUAUGAAAAAUGUUCUUUUUCUGCGCCUUCAUUUUUCAAAGGUCAUUGGCGCCAUGGUUGUCAAGAAACCUGAGUGGGAUGGUUCCACAGUGCUGGGCCAAAAGUCUGGAAUUAUCUCAACAUUGAUUAGCACUCGCUUUUCAACUAGUCAGAAACCUCCACCAAAUCCAUCUGAUGUAAACAUCAACUCAGCACUGUAUCCUGAAGGCCCCCCAAUGCCAGCACAAACCCGUAAACUCUUGAGAUAUGUUGACACAAAGGAAAUGACAAGAGGACCACAGGAUUCACCUGGAUACUGGGUUGUUUCUGGAGCGAGGCUUGUGGUUGAUAAUGGCAAGAUAUCUCUUCGUGUGAAGUACUCUCUUCUGGCUGCCAUCUUGCCGGAUGAAGAGGAGCCAUUUCAUGGAUAAUUUUGUGGACCAAACAGCUGAAGCAGUAAUAUUGCGAGGCAAAAGAGGGAUGUCAUUUCAUGAUUGAAGUCACAGAUUUUUCUUAUAUUUAGCGAGGAGUUUUUGAGAGUUCUUGUAUGGUUUGAAUGGUAUCAGGCAAAUUGCUGCACUUCUUGUGUUCUAGCAUAAAAUUAUGUACAUAAUUCUUGAUGUUGGAAGAAUUUAACUGAAACAGUUACUUGUUCGGAAAUAGGAAAUGGAGAACAGGUAAAUAUGCAUCUUAUUAUAGGACGAAAAUACUUGUUUACACAGUUUUCCUGUCCCCAUGUAAUUUCAUAUUGCCCGAAAAAGGGUGGAGAGGAGGGCGGGAAUUCUCAUUCAGUGGAGUUCCAAAUCUUGUUUCUUGUUUCCUACAAUCUUGAGAUCACUGAAUCAUCUCCUUGCAUAAUAUGGAAAAUCCACAGGUCGGGUCUUUCUAGAAAUCUGAAGAACAAAUAUUAGUUUUUUCUUUUUCAGUUGUCAUAAUUUCUACUAAGAGCAUCCACAAUGCUAUUACACUUUGUGGAGUGUAAUCCACAUGCCACGUCAGCAUUCUACUUUCUCCUCUUUUAUUACACUUUCACUCACAAUGGAUUACACUCCACAAGGUGUAAUAGCAUGGGUCCACAAUUAAUCAAAUAUUUAUUUUAAUAAUGCAUAACUCAUAUCCCAUAAAUAAAUAAAGUAAUUUUAAAACUAAUUUUGUUAUUUUUAAAAAAUAAAGUACUAACUUUCGUUAAAUUUUGUACAUUUUGAAUUUUUUUAUUUUCUAAAAAUGAUAUUAUUAAUUUUUAAGUUUGAAUAAUAUAUCUUUUUCUAUGUUUCAAAAAUAAUAUAUUGUUAUUUUUUUAAAAAUAAUUAUGUAGGAAAUUAAACAAAUAUUUGAUACUUCAAAUGUGAAGAUAUCAUAAUAAUCCAUACUUAAUUAAUAAUUCGAAAUGUAAUUAGUUGAACUCCAUAACAUAAUAUUACAUAAGUUAAAUCAAAUAAAAUACAAAUAAUAACAAAAUGAAUACUAGUUUUCAUUGUCAUUGCUUUCGAAUCGCUGGAAAUGCUGGAAUUUUACCGUUGCCAUAGGCCCACAUUUUGAGAAUUACACGCAUCAUACAUGUGAUGCGUGUAAUCUCCAUGACACGGCUCCAAUGGGGAGCCGCGUCAUGGAGUGGUGUAAUGGGGGUGUAUUACACCCCCAUUGGAGCUGCCCUAAUAAAACUGGAUGUGCAAGCUUCUAAUGUAUAAAUAAAUAUGUGGCUAAUUGUUCUUCUAGCUCUUGCUAGGUUUAAUAAAAUCAGAGUCAACCGUGAACUAAAAUUUUGGGAAGUAUUUGCUAGACUUUAUUUAUUCACGGACACAAGUUCAAGAGAAUGUUUUUAUAGCAACAGAGGAAACAAAAAUACAGGCCCCAAAUGCAUAAGCAAAUUUUGGAGUGUGUUUUUCACACCGAUGGUAAGACAGAGUAUGCUGUAUCAAAGAAAGCCAAAAGCGCAACACUGGUGAUAAGAUGGUGUCUUUGUAGUUAUGGAGAUCAAAAGUUAAAACCACCAGUUAAUUUGGAAAAAAUGGUGAAGAGAUGGCAAAAUCGAUAAAGUCAGGAGAGGAGUGAAGUGGAGGAAGCUUUGUUUCUUUGUAAAAUUGAUACAAGUCAUAUGAGGGGAAAUAAACGGGCAAUGAAUUACGAAACUGCGAAGAAAUCGAGAUAAAUUAUUAGCCUAGGUAAUGAAAUAGUGAGUUUUUGAUAAUUGAAAAUCCCUUAAAGAAUAAUGAAUAUAGAAUAGAGAUAAAGAUGUUCAUUCCAAAUGGUUGAAUAACUUGAUGAUUGCCAUAUAUACAAAAGUAAUUCCCUCAAAAAUAUAUGUGAGAGUGGAUGGAAUGUCUGCAUUCGACGUAUGAGUGACAAUUGUGCCAGAAUUUUUUUAUUUGAGUAAUAAAAAGGGAUAAUUUCAGAAACCUCCCUUGAGGUUUUUGACAAUUUCACUCAGUUCCCUUUAGGUUUAAAAAAUUACACUUACCUCUUUUGGCAUAGUAAAAUACCUAUAAUGCCCUCCACUUGGUAGACAAUUUUAAAUUUAAGACAAUAAAUUUACAAAACCCAAAAAAAAUCUAUUUUUCUGUCUUUUAUCUAUUUUCGCUUCUCUCUUUUCUAAUUAAUAAAACCUCUUUUUAUUAUUUUCAAUUUUAUAGAUAUUAGCAAAUUGAAAUUACCAAAUCAACAGAAAGAACAGAUUAUGUGUCAAAUUAAGAGAAAACAAAGAGACUCACAGUGAUACAAAAAUAAAUAAUGAAAUUGAUGAAAUUAGAAGAACUAUAGAUGUAGAAUUUGUCAUAUUUUGUUUGUUGUCAAGAAAAUCUUUUAUAAAAUGUCAAUAAUUACAUAAUGAUUUCUUUCAUUGGAUUAGAAAUUUUUUAUUAUGAUUUUAUUAUGGAGAUAGAAUUUAUUCUCUACUUUUGAGAUAUUAAUAUUUUUAAAGCCAUAAGAGGUUUAUAAUGGCAGUUCUAGGUCAGACUAACUUGUAUUGAAAAGGUAUUUGAGCAUUGACAUUUAAUUUUGGGGUACAACCAGUUGUCAAUGGGGUUUGUGUGUGUAUUUUUUUUCUUUUUUCCUUUUUUUCUGCGUGACAAGUUUGAUACUGUAUAUGCAAUUUGAAAUUUUUUAGAUGGCUAUUUGGUUUUAAAAUUUAUGUUUGAAUGAUUAUUAGAGAUUAGACUUGUUGAUUUAUGCAAAGUAUGAAAAAAAUGAUUGAGUAUACUAUAUUUUUCUUUCUUAGUUUUGUACAAAAGGGCAAUUUAGGAUUUUUGUAAGAAAAUCUAUCUUGUUGAAUCUACAUUGUUACUAAACAUUAAACGUAGGGGAGGUAUAUGUAAUUUUUAAAACCUAAGAGGAGCUCUAUGUAAUUGUUAAAAAUCUCAAGGGAGGUUUGUGAAAUUAUCCCUAAUAAAAAUGGCAUUCAACAUAUAUUUUAAAAAUGCGAGCAAGCUCAUAUAAAAUUUAUAGUGUACAUUGAAAUGGUAGAUAUCAUUGAAUAAAAUUAAAAUGCAAAUAUAAGUGGUAUUAGCUUAUGGGGUAGGGAUGCUACGAAUAUAAAUUAUUUACUGUUAUAAAUUUGGUAGAAACUGUGACUACAUGAAGAAUUAAGGUAUCGAUCAAGCAAUGUACCCUAAGUCAUUCGUACAACUCUACACCAUAGAAAAAUUUGAAAGUUUGUUUCGAUGUUAUUCUAUAAUUUCAUAGGAUUGUUAAACGUUUAAAGGAGAAGAAACUUAUUAAAGUUUCUGUUUCAGAAGUAUUUGUGCUUGAAUCUAGUUUUUCUAAUUCCGAAGCUAACCCUCGGGUAUUAGAUGCCAAAAAUGCAUCUCAUAUUUAUGUGAACAUGCAAGGAUGAAAGAAAAGUAGAUGACCGAAAAAUGGUAAACUCUUCAUAUGCGCAGGCAACGGUAGACAUGGUCAUGGUUCCAAAAUUGCCGGUUAUAGUUUAAAAACCAACGAUUCCAAUCCUACUAAAAGAUGGGAUUUGAACUUGCCCUUAUAAGCAUCUUAAAACCCCAAUUUCGAUCCAAUUUUAGUUCCAAUUUUAUUUCAAUUACAGUUCCGAUUUCUUCCAAUUAUAGUUCCAGUUCUUUUAAUUAUGCUUAAACACUUGUUAUAAAAUUGAUUUUAAGCAAAUCUAAUAAUGAAUGUAGAAAAAAAAUAAGAACAUUAUUGCACUAUCAUGUUCAAGAAAAAUUUUUUUUAAAAAUGAUGCAAAUUUUAUGAAAAAAUAUUAUGAUUCAUUAGAUUAGAUUGGUUGUAGACUUAAAUUAGUUAUGGGGUCUAAACUUACUAAUAGGAAGAGACAACGGGCUGUUGGAGAAUUGGCGCUGCUGGUGUUAGAUGCUGAUUAUUGAUAUUGAAUUUUAAAAUGGUCAAAUAGAUCUAGAUAGCAAUUUUUUUUUUUAUAAAUAGCUUGAACCGAAUCUAAGUAGCCAGUUCUAUUUUUCGUUCAAGUUUUCCUUUAGUAAUGGUUAUGGUUUCAAAUCUAGUUUCCAAAAUUUCUUUUGAUUCCAGUUUGGUUCCAGUUUAAACCUAAACCGUGGCUAUCCCUAGGCAAUGCAGUAAGAGUUGUUCAUUAGCCAUAGGAAUUUACAUACAUUACCUUGUGGACUUACUUUAAGAUUAAGCAAUUGUUACUAUAUUUCAAUAUUGAUUGGAAAUGUCUCAAUAUACUAUUAUAAUCAUUUGAAUUGUUUGUGCAAACAAUUACACUGUCACAUAGAGAAUAAUUUAUUGACUCUAUCACAUAGAGAACAAUUACACAAAUAUAAAAAUCAAUUACAUUCUGUCAUAUAGAGAAUAAUUUAUCGACAAGAUAAAAUAAUUAUCCAUCUGAAUUGUUUAUGCAAAUCAAUCUAGUAAUUUUGAUCAUUCUAUCAACGAUCACAUACUAGUUUAUAUGUCUCCACACAUUAUAGUAAAUGAGAUCUAUUGCUUCAUUUAUAAAGAAGAGCCAUGAUAUGUGCUAGUGUAUCCCUAUUAACAAUAUCAUGUCUUAUUGAUACUUCAUUUGUAAAGAAGUAGCAUAAUAGCUAAGUAUAAACCCUAAAUAAAUCCAACAAUAUCGUCAUCAUAUCAAUUAUUUUAUUGAUUUAGUUUAAUUUUUUGGACUUUAUCAUCCAAAUUACAAAAUACAAGCAAUCAAAUUGAUCAAUAGUAAAAGUACACAAAAACCCUAGAAGUUUAUUGAUCAAGACAUACAUACUAACAAUACCUCAUUUAGUCGAGCAAGCAAGAGCUCUAAACACACUAGUUCGCAACCUAUUACUUUAGCAAGAGAUUAUUUGUUUAUUGGACUUAUCAGCAGUAGGGAUGCUGAGUUUAUAAAUGGUUGUGCAUGGCGGAAUGAGUCAUUGCCGCCAAUCAGUGUUAUGUCCACCGUUGUGCUAGGAUAUGUAACUUUCCUUAAUCGCACUUGCAUACAUGACAAAACAGGAAUAUCAUUUUUCAGGACUUAAGUCUUGAAUGAUGAUCACUGGCAGUUUGAGUUUGACCUGAUAUAGUGAUUGUAAUUUCCCUUAAUGUGUGCUAUUUAGAUGAUGUAAAUGCCAAUAAUUUCGAAUUAGGGUUUUAUAUUUUGCUGCAAUUUGAUGUCACUGUUGAGGCCUUCAUCAUAAGUUUUGCAUAGAUACUCUUUAAGUUAAAAGAAAGCUACUGCUUAAUAUUUUGCUAGUUAGUGGAGUUGUGUGACAGAUUCCAUACUAUUUUAUCUUAAAAAUUCUUAGGGCCAUGUCAUAUUUUUCUGAAUCAUCAUAAUAAACAACUAUCAAAUUUUCAUAAGGAUCAAGAAGAAUGUGUUGAAAUCAAAAUUUCACUGUGUUUGGCUUUUUGGGGCACAACAAGCCAUCACUAAUUUGACGUCGGAAUCAUUUGCAAAUCCCUACUUUAAUACAUUUAAAUCGCGUUACCUAAAUGCAAAAAUGAGAAGGAUCUCUAACUUAAACCAGAUUUACAAAAGUGGGCUGCAUCUUGAAUUAGAAAAGUCAUACAAAAAAUGGUUCUUAAUGCAAAAAUGAGAAGGAUUUCUAACUUAAACCAGAUUUACAAAAGUGGGCUGCAUCUUGAAUUAGAAAAGUCAUACAAAAAAUGGUUUUUAUGUUGGUUAGUUUCCAUUUGGACCACUACGACUUUCACAAGAAACCUUUCAAAGAUAUUGAUCAUAGAUAGUGUAAUUAAAAAUUGAAUUUAGUUCACAAUUUUCAAAUUCCAGAGGUGAUUCUUAGUCAAUUUUAAAUAUUUUUAUUCUUGAUAUGAAAAGAUCGAGAACAACUUAUUUGUAUAUAUAAAAAAAAGCCCUGAUUUUGAAUUCAUGAAUAAGUUAACAUAGAAGAAAGAUCGCUACAUUUAUUGUUAAAUGGGGAUCUAUUUAUAAUUUUUCGAAGUGUCAAGUAGAAACCAAAUUCCAAUGUCUAGGCUUGUGACGAUCUCAUUUUACAUCUUGCAAGACUUUCAGAGACAUUUGCGAAGCUUCGCCAAUGCUUGUCCGAGUACUUUGUAGCCAAUGAAUAUAUGACUUAACUCGUGAACUUUGUAUGAAAUCUUGAACGACAAUAGGUCUUGGAAGCUAUGCAUUAAUUUGAUACGUGAAAUAACCAGGAAAUGCAAGUCGCUAUUUUGACUAAAUCUACGUAAUUGGUUAAAAAUUACUUCGUUAUUUUAUAUUCUUUCUUUCUUGAAACAAAAAGAAACAUUACAUAGACUUGGCAAAUUGUGGUUCAACGUUAAUCUCAUACCUAUUGUGAUUAAGGCAUACCUAUUGUGUCAUUUGUGUGUGAUUAGUAAAAGCAUUAUAUUUUGUAAACGAAUUUAAUAACAAAAGGUUUAAAGACAUUUGUUUCACUUGUUUUGCCUCUAAUGAAUCCAGGGGUAAUUCUCUAAUUUCUGAGAUUGAAUUUGAGUUCCUUUUCCCAGGAAUUUGACUAUAAGAUGAUGGUAGAGUAGUAGUACACCAUUCCAGGAGGUUUCUUUCCCUUAUUCAAGAAUUACUCUAAUUAACAGAUACCUGGUUUUAUAAAGGAAAAAAAAACGUGAAAUUUACCACAAAAAAAAAAAAAGAGAAACACAAAUAAAAGAUAAAAUAAGUAUGGCUGCAAACUAUCAGAACUCAAUAAAAUUGAGGAACAUUACCAAAAAGAAAGUUAAAGAAGAAAAAAAAAAAAAACAUCGACACACACUAUAUAUACAAAUAUAAAUCGUACAAAUCCCCACUAGAUAGAACUUGUAUUUAAUACUUGAACAAGUGUAAAAUUUUUUCAAAGUCACAAUUCCAUGAGGGGAGAAAAAAGGGUUUGUUAUGAGAUAUGGCAAUGGUUCUUCAGUAUCAGAUGUUUAAGUUGAGUACAUAAAAUGAAGAGGUAGUUUUUUGUUUCAAUACUUUUUGGUGGAGAAGUUGAAGUCUUAUGAUUAGGGCAAGAGCUAAUUAGGAGGAGUUGCAUGAUAUACUUGAUUGGAAUAGUAAUUAAUGCGGUUACCGCAAUUGGUCAGAAAUUAAUUAGAAGAGUAAAUAUGAUAUUUUAAAAAGUGAUAAUAAAAUGUUUACAACAAAUCAAACUCUGCUCCUACUUUAUUAUUGUAGUGAUUUAAAAAAUAAAAAAUAUUAGUAGUAGGCUGGCGGAUUUUUACAUCGUUGGUGAUCUAAUGAAUUAAUAUCAACAGAGUUUCAUUACAAAUAAAUUUUUUAGACAAUGAAUAAGUGACUCCAGGGUAAUCCAAUGACAAAACAUCCCAUUUCAAGCAUCCUAAACUGCAAUCUGUUUCUUCCACCGUUAAACUGCAUUAAAUUUCAAUACUCCUGGCAUAAUUUUAAACAAAUUUCCUGUAUCCCUAAAAAGUAGAAAAGCACAAAUCUGCUUUAACAUUACUAGAAGUACAUCAACAGUCGUGAAACACGGAUCCUUGUUUAGUUUACACGGGAGAACCAAUAUACAUUUCCAUGAUAUUACACUCACUCGCACAAGUUUAGCAUUUCAAUCCACAUACUACUGUAAUCCACUUUCUGCUAUAACAGAACAAUAAUAAGAUUAACAGGAUUAGGCAAACAAAACGGACCAGGAAAUAGCCAAAGACAGUCUCCAAACUCUCUGUCUAGCCUUUAAUUUAAGUAGACAGAGACUUAUGCUAGACA